Molecule: long non-coding RNA, 471 nt
Organism: Panicum virgatum (switchgrass)
Lineage: Eukaryota; Viridiplantae; Streptophyta; Magnoliopsida; Poales; Poaceae
Exons: 2
Source: RefSeq, a predicted model, not a curated record
GGUGGAGGGCCGAGUGGGACGACAUCCAGCAAAAAUUGGAUCAAGUUCUAACAUUUAUGCAAAGCCUGGGCUCGGCGAUGGGUGUUUCGCCUCCACAAUUCCCUCCGGCCCCACUUGUUCGUCGUGCAGAAACUCCUCCUACCAAUCAGUCGGCGGCAUCCAAUGAUGGGCCAGUGAAUCCUGACUUCUCGCCUCCGGUGCAGCAGACUCAGCAGCCUCAGCAGUUUGUGUGGCCACUGCCUCAAUGGGUGGCUUGGAUUCAGCAGCAGUAGCAGCAGCCAGGUUGGUCGCAGACGCCUACAUGGCCGAUGUGGCCGCAGCACCCGCCACAGCCACCGCCGCCGUCGGACCCGUGAGUUACAUUGUAUGGACUUAUUUUGUACCAACUUGUAUGGAUUUGUAUGGACUUGAUUUGUAUGGACUCGACUUGUACUUGUGGUUGUCGAUGAACAAAAAAAGACUUUAUUGGUA